UGCAAGUCGAGCGGACAGAUGGGAGCUUGCUCCCUGAUGUUAGCGGCGGACGGGUGAGUAACACGUGGGUAACCUGCCUGUAAGACUGGGAUAACUCCGGGAAACCGGGGCUAAUACCGGAUGGUUGUUUGAACCGCAUGGUUCAAACAUAAAAGGUGGCUUCGGCUACCACUUACAGAUGGACCCGCGGCGCAUUAGCUAGUUGGUGAGGUAAUGGCUCACCAAGGCAACGAUGCGUAGCCGACCUGAGAGGGUGAUCGGCCACACUGGGACUGAGACACGGCCCAGACUCCUACGGGAGGCAGCAGUAGGGAAUCUUCCGCAAUGGACGAAAGUCUGACGGAGCAACGCCGCGUGAGUGAUGAAGGUUUUCGGAUCGUAAAGCUCUGUUGUUAGGGAAGAACAAGUACCGUUCGAAUAGGGCGGUACCUUGACGGUACCUAACCAGAAAGCCACGGCUAACUACGUGCCAGCAGCCGCGGUAAUACGUAGGUGGCAAGCGUUGUCCGGAAUUAUUGGGCGUAAAGGGCUCGCAGGCGGUUUCUUAAGUCUGAUGUGAAAGCCCCCGGCUCAACCGGGGAGGGUCAUUGGAAACUGGGGAACUUGAGUGCAGAAGAGGAGAGUGGAAUUCCACGUGUAGCGGUGAAAUGCGUAGAGAUGUGGAGGAACACCAGUGGCGAAGGCGACUCUCUGGUCUGUAACUGACGCUGAGGAGCGAAAGCGUGGGGAGCGAACAGGAUUAGAUACCCUGGUAGUCCACGCCGUAAACGAUGAGUGCUAAGUGGUUAGGGGGUUUCCGCCCCUUAGUGCUGCAGCUAACGCAUUAAGCACUCCGCCUGGGGAGUACGGUCGCAAGACUGAAACUCA
This 867-nucleotide ribosomal RNA is filed under the name Bacillus sp. (in: firmicutes). RNAcentral's name for it is "bacterial SSU rRNA". It matches the Rfam family "Bacterial small subunit ribosomal RNA", at positions 56 to 903 of the family's 1533-position model. The record is from RNAcentral. Lineage: Bacteria; Bacillati; Bacillota; Bacilli; Caryophanales; Bacillaceae.